UACGGGGGGGGCAAGCGUUGUUCGGAAUUACUGGGCGUAAAGGGCUCGUAGGCGGCCAACUAAGUCAUACGUGAAAUCCCUCGGCUUAACCGGGGAACUGCGUCUGAUACUGGAUGGCUUGAGUUCGGGAGAGGGAUGCGGAAUUCCAGGUGUAGCGGUGAAAUGCGUAGAUAUCUGGAGGAACACCGGUGGCGAAGGCGGCAUCCUGGACCGGUAUUGACGCUGAGGCGCGAAAGCUAGGGUAGCAAACGGG
This 253-nucleotide ribosomal RNA is filed under the name uncultured bacterium. RNAcentral describes it as "partial 16S ribosomal RNA". It matches the Rfam family "Bacterial small subunit ribosomal RNA", at positions 524 to 776 of the family's 1533-position model. The record is from RNAcentral.